CAUGCAAGUCGAACGGCAGCACGGGUGCUUGCACCUGGUGGCGAGUGGCGAACGGGUGAGUAAUACAUCGGAACGUACCUUGUAGUGGGGGAUAGCUCGGCGAAAGCCGGAUUAAUACCGCAUACGCUCUGAGGAGGAAAGCGGGGGACCUUCGGGCCUCGCGCUACAAGAGCGGCCGAUGUCAGAUUAGCUAGUUGGUGAGGUAAAAGCUCACCAAGGCGACGAUCUGUAGCUGGUCUGAGAGGACGACCAGCCACACUGGGACUGAGACACGGCCCAGACUCCUACGGGAGGCAGCAGUGGGGAAUUUUGGACAAUGGGCGAAAGCCUGAUCCAGCAAUGCCGCGUGUGUGAAGAAGGCCUUCGGGUUGUAAAGCACUUUUGUCCGGAAAGAAAUCCUCUGGGUUAAUACCUCGGGGGGAUGACGGUACCGGAAGAAUAAGCACCGGCUAACUACGUGCCAGCAGCCGCGGUAAUACGUAGGGUGCAAGCGUUAAUCGGAAUUACUGGGCGUAAAGCGUGCGCAGGCGGUUUUGUAAGACGGAUGUGAAAUCCCCGGGCUUAACCUGGGAACUGCAUUCGUGACUGCAAGGCUAGAGUAUGGCAGAGGGGGGUAGAAUUCCACGUGUAGCAGUGAAAUGCGUAGAGAUGUGGAGGAAUACCGAUGGCGAAGGCAGCCCCCUGGGCCAAUACUGACGCUCAUGCACGAAAGCGUGGGGGAGCAAACAGGAUUAGAUACCCUGGUAGUCCACGCCCUAAACGAUGUCAACUAGUUGUUGGGGAUUCAUUUCCUUAGUAACGUAGCUAACGCGUGAAGUUGACCGCCUGGGGAGUACGGUCGCAAGAUUAAAACUCAAAGGAAUUGACGGGGACCCGCACAAGCGGUGGAUGAUGUGGAUUAAUUCGAUGCAACGCGAAAAACCUUACCUACCCUUGACAUGUACGGAAUCCUGCUGAGAGGUGGGAGUGCUCGAAAGAGAACCGUAACACAGGUGCUGCAUGGCUGUCGUCAGCUCGUGUCGUGAGAUGUUGGGUUAAGUCCCGCAACGAGCGCAACCCUUGUCCUUAGUUGCUACGCAAGAGCACUCUAAGGAGACUGCCGGUGACAAACCGGAGGAAGGUGGGGAUGACGUCAAGUCCUCAUGGCCCUUAUGGGUAGGGCUUCACACGUCAUACAAUGGUCGGUACAGAGGGCUGCCAAACCGCGAGGUGGAGCUAACCCCAGAAAACCGAUCGUAGUCCGGAUCGCAGUCUGCAACUCGACUGCGUGAAGCUGGAAUCGCUAGUAAUCGCGGAUCAGCAUGUCGCGGUGAAUACGUUCCCGGGUCUUGUACACACCGCCCGUCACACCAUGGGAGUGGGUUUUGCCAGAAGUAGGUAGCCUAACCGCAAGGAGGGCGCU
This 1402-nucleotide ribosomal RNA is filed under the name Pandoraea sp. ATSB30. RNAcentral's name for it is "16S ribosomal RNA". It matches the Rfam family "Bacterial small subunit ribosomal RNA". The record is from RNAcentral. Lineage: Bacteria; Pseudomonadati; Pseudomonadota; Betaproteobacteria; Burkholderiales; Burkholderiaceae. RNAcentral also lists the same sequence under 1 other name.